This is a long non-coding RNA of Astatotilapia calliptera (eastern happy), 1540 nucleotides long. Lineage: Eukaryota; Metazoa; Chordata; Actinopteri; Cichliformes; Cichlidae. The record is from Ensembl.
AGAAAUAGUGCAGAAUACUAACUAUUCUCUUAUACCCUCUUUAAGAUAAGUAUUUGUAUUGUUUUUUUAAUAUUUACAGGUUUACAUAGGAAUACGACAGGGAUUCGUCGAACAGUUUACAUUUGAGUAAACAAUUUGUUAAAUGUAGGGAGAAGGAGGAGAAGAGGACAGAUGAGUAAAGGAUAGCUAAAGAGGGCAGAUGCAGGUAAGUUUUUCAUCUAGGGAGUUCAUUUAUCAAAGGGACAAAGAGACAAACUAAAUGAAAAGAGCAGAGAAAAGAGGUUUGUGCAUACAAGUGUGAGAGUGCAUCAGGGACAAAAUCCUGCGAUCGAGAGUACGAGUGCUUAAAAAGAUAGAGCGAGAGUAUGACAGGGCGAAUUAGAGAGCAAUCAGAUGCUGGUCUGACAUUAACUGAAUCCCUAAUGAAGGUGAGAGGAGAUGAUUGGCUGGACGUGCAUUCCGAUGAGGUCUUCUUCGAUGAUAGCUGCGGGGGUGACCUCAGUCCUCAAAGGACAGACUCCAACUCAUCUGGCAUUUCUAAUUGGCUACAUGGAUGGCAGCCAAAUAGUGUUGCCCAUAUAUGGAUGUAACAACAUGUGGUGCUCAUCGGGGUUAAAGGGACAAGAAAUGAGGGGAGGGUGAGAGAGGCAAAGAAAGAAAAAGAGAUAGUGAUGACACUGAGGGCAGGAAAGGUUGAAUGACAUCAAGAAAGCUAAAAAUGGGAAAGUCUGAGGAGCUCAGUAAGAAAAAUCAGUUAUUGAGAUUUCUUUUCACGUUUUUUGUUUUGUUUUAUUUUGUUUUGUUUUUUUUGCGUGUUUCCACACAUUUAUCAUUAUACCAUAUUUUUUAGCAUUUCAAAGAAUUUAAUUUCUCCUGGUUGCUGAUGGAAUGAAGCACGAGUUUUUCAUUUUGAUACAAUAAACAAAGAAUGAAAUUGACACAGUAACAUUAAUACCUAAUGGAGAUGUUGAAAUACACUUAGCAUAGCUUUCUUUCCAGAAGAGAAGUAUAUUUAUUUUUUCAUGUCAAUAUUUUACAGUAAAACCUGUGAUACGUUGGUUUGCAAACCAGUAAAACUAGUAAAGUUAUUUGUCUCGAAGCUCUGAUCAGUGAUUGACAAACAUCAGCCCACCAGCACCGCCACAUUUUUACUAAUUAACACAACACAUCUUGAUUUUAUUUCAUCCAUCAGUUGCAGAAACUCCACCAAUAUAACUGUCAAUCUUCUACCCUUGAACCACCAGUCAUGAACAAGACUCCAUCAUAGUUAAUGAAGGCAUAAUGGCAUCACUUAACCAUUAAUUCCAAUGAUGAAAUUACCUACUGAUUAUAUUUAGGCAUAUCUAUUCAUAGUGUGUGACAAAUUUUACGCUUGCUGUUUGCUAGCCAAAACACAUCUGCAGCAGUAGCUUAAGUAACAAGAAUACCAUCUAUACCAGGAUACAUGCAUCCUGGACAGUGUAGAAUAACCACACUUCAUUAAAAGCAGUCAUACAGUUCUCAUUAAAUGGGUUCCAGUGGUGUACGUGGUAUUAACUUU